AAUAGAUACCCAGGUAGUCCACGCCGUAAACGUUGGGAACUAGAUGUGGGGACCAUUCCACGGUCUCCGUGUCGUAGCUAACGCAUUAAGUUCCCCGCCUGGGGAGUACGGCCGCAAGGCUAAAACUCAAAGGAAUUGACGGGGGCCCGCACAAGCGGCGGAGCAUGCGGAUUAAUUCGAUGCAACGCGAAGAACCUUACCAAGGCUUGACAUAUACGAGAACGCGCUGGAGACAGCGAACUCUUUGGACACUCGUAUACAGGUGGUGCAUGGUUGUCGUCAGCUCGUGUCGUGAGAUGUUGGGUUAAGUCCCGCAACGAGCGCAACCCUCGUCCUAUGUUGCCAGCACGUCAUGGUGGGAACUCAUGGGAUACUGCCGGGGUCAACUCGGAGGAAGGUGGGGAUGAGGUCAAAUCAUCAUGCCCCUUAUGUCUUGGGCUUCACGCAUGCUACAAUGGCCGGUACAAUGGGCUGCGAUACCGCAAGGUGGAGCGAAUCCCAAAAAGCCGGUCUCAGUUCGGAUUG
Molecule: ribosomal RNA, 525 nt
Filed under: uncultured bacterium
Lineage: Bacteria
Description: bacterial SSU rRNA
Rfam family: Bacterial small subunit ribosomal RNA
Source: RNAcentral